Molecule: ribosomal RNA, 394 nt
Filed under: uncultured bacterium
Lineage: Bacteria
Description: partial 16S ribosomal RNA
Rfam family: Bacterial small subunit ribosomal RNA
Source: RNAcentral
AUACGUAGGGGGCUAGCGUUAUCCGGAAUUACUGGGCGUAAAGGGCGCGCAGGCGGCGAGGCAAGUCCGGCGUGAAAGACCCCGGCCCAACCGGGGGGACGCGCUGGAAACUGCAGGGCUUGAGUACAGGAGGGGAUGCCGGAAUUCCAGGUGUAGGGGUGAAAUCUGUAGAUAUCUGGAAGAACACCAAUGGCGAAGGCAGGCAUCUGGCCAUGUACUGACGCUGAGACGCGAAGGUGCGGGGAGCAAACAGGUUUAGAUACCCUGGUAGUCCGCACAGUAAACGAUGUGCACCAGGUGGCGGGGGGUCGACCCCCGGUACCGUAGCUAACGCAUUAAGUGCACCGCCUGGGGAGUAUGCUCGCAAGGGUGAAACUCAAAUGAAUUGACGGGG